CCUACGGGAGGCAGCAGUAGGGAAUCUUCCGCAAUGGACGAAAGUCUGACGGAGCAACGCCGCGUGAGCGAUGAAGGCCUUCGGGUCGUAAAGCUCUGUUGUCAGGGAAGAACAAGUAUCGGAGUAACUGCCGGUACCUUGACGGUACCUGACCAGAAAGCCACGGCUAACUACGUGCCAGCAGCCGCGGUAAUACGUAGGUGGCAAGCGUUGUCCGGAAUUAUUGGGCGUAAAGCGCGCGCAGGCGGUCCUUUAAGUCUGAUGUGAAAGCCCACGGCUCAACCGUGGAGGGUCAUUGGAAACUGGGGGACUUGAGUGCAGAAGAGGAAAGCGGAAUUCCACGUGUAGCGGUGAAAUGCGUAGAGAUGUGGAGGAACACCAGUGGCGAAGGCGGCUUUCUGGUCUGUAACUGACGCUGAGGCGCGAAAGCGUGGGGAGCAAACAGGAUUAGAUACCCUGGUAGUCCACGCCGUAAACGAUGAGUGCUAAGUGUUAGGGGGUUUCCGCCCCUUAGUGCUGCAGCUAACGCAUUAAGCACUCCGCCUGGGGAGUACGGUCGCAAGACUGAAACUCAAAGGAAUUGACGG
This 587-nucleotide ribosomal RNA is filed under the name uncultured bacterium. Its description in RNAcentral is "bacterial SSU rRNA". It matches the Rfam family "Bacterial small subunit ribosomal RNA", at positions 338 to 916 of the family's 1533-position model. The record is from RNAcentral.